Molecule: unclassified non-coding RNA, 377 nt
Filed under: uncultured Parachlamydiaceae bacterium
Lineage: Bacteria; Pseudomonadati; Chlamydiota; Chlamydiia; Parachlamydiales; Parachlamydiaceae
Description: contains 16S-23S intergenic spacer region
Source: RNAcentral
UCCUGGUUAACCCAGGCAGUCUCGCUAGAGUGCCCACCUAAAAUGCUGGCAACUAACGAUAAGGGUUGCGCUCGUUGCUGGACUUAACCAAACACCUCACGGCACGAGCUGACGACAGCCAUGCAGCACCUGUUCAGAGGCCCCGAAGGGAAAUGUUAUUUCUAACAUCGUCCUCUGUAUGUCAAAUCUGGGUAAGGUUCUUCGCGUUGCAUCGAAUUAAACCACAUGCUCCACUGCUUGUGCGGGUCCCCGUCAAUUCUUUUGAGUUUCACCCUUGCGAGUGUACUCCCCAGGCGGUAUACUUAUCGCGUUUGCUACGGCACAACUAGGGUUGAUUCCAGUUACACCAAGUAUACAUCGUUUACGGCAAGGACUAC